GCGGAUGUCGUAUAACGGCUAUUAUUCCCGGCUUCCAUCCAGGAGAUGUGGGUUCGAUUCCCGCCAUCCGCU
RNAcentral lists this transfer RNA (72 nucleotides) under Acanthopleuribacter pedis. It matches the Rfam family "tRNA". Rfam says of the family: Transfer RNA (tRNA) molecules are approximately 80 nucleotides in length. Their secondary structure includes four short double-helical elements and three loops (D, anti-codon, and T loops). Lineage: Bacteria; Pseudomonadati; Acidobacteriota; Holophagae; Acanthopleuribacterales; Acanthopleuribacteraceae. The record is from Rfam by way of RNAcentral.